UGCCUUCAGUUCUACCCAUUCAUCUUGGUUACUAAUGAAUGUGGUGUCGAAAAGGCAUAAAGUAAGUUUCCCCUUGCAGCUUCUUCCUAAUCUAGGAGUUAUUCCUACUGGAUUUGCUGUGUGGGGGACAUUA
Anolis carolinensis (green anole) is the source of this 133-nucleotide small nucleolar RNA. The record is from Ensembl. NCBI's taxonomy places the organism in Eukaryota, Metazoa, Chordata, Lepidosauria, Squamata, Anolidae.